RNAcentral lists this ribosomal RNA (258 nucleotides) under uncultured bacterium. Its description in RNAcentral is "partial 16S ribosomal RNA". It matches the Rfam family "Bacterial small subunit ribosomal RNA", at positions 526 to 779 of the family's 1533-position model. The record is from RNAcentral.
CGAAGGGGGCUAGCGUUGUUCGGAAUUACUGGGGCGUAAAAGCGCACGUAGGCGGAUAUUUAAGUCAGGGAUGAAAUCCCAGAGCUCAACUCUGGAACUGCCUUUGAUACUGGGUAUCUUGAGUAUGGAAGAGGUAAGUGGAAUUGCGAGUGUAGAGGUGAAAUUCGUAGAUAUUCGCAGGAACACCAGUGGCGAAGGCGGCUUACUGGUCCAUAACUGACGCUGAGGUGCGAAAGCGUGGGGGGAGCAAACAGGAUU